GUGUCAGCAGCCGCGGUAAUACGGAGGGUGCGAGCGUUAAUCGGAAUUACUGGGCGUAAAGGGUGCGUAGGUGGUUUGAUAAGUUAUGUGUGAAAUCCCUGGGCUUAACCUGGGAAUUGCAGAUAAGACUGUUGGACUUGAGUAUAGGAGAGGGUAGUGGAAUUUCCGGUGUAGCGGUGAAAUGCGUAGAGAUCGGAAGGAACACCGGUGGCGAAGGCGGCUACCUGGCCUAAUACUGACACUGAGGCACGAAAGCGUGGGUAGCAAACAGGAUUAGAUACCCCUGUAGUCC
RNAcentral lists this ribosomal RNA (292 nucleotides) under uncultured bacterium. RNAcentral's name for it is "partial 16S ribosomal RNA". It matches the Rfam family "Bacterial small subunit ribosomal RNA", at positions 505 to 796 of the family's 1533-position model. The record is from RNAcentral.